AGUUUGAUCCUGGCUCAGGAUGAACGCUAGCUACAGGCUUAACACAUGCAAGUCGAGGGGCAGCAUUUUAGUUUGCUUGCAAACUAAAGAUGGCGACCGGCGCACGGGUGAGUAACACGUAUCCAACCUGCCGAUAACUCGGGGAUAGCCUUUCGAAAGAAAGAUUAAUAUCCGAUAGUAUAUUAAAACCGCAUGGUUUUACUAUUAAAGAAUUUCGGUUAUCGAUGGGGAUGCGUUCCAUUAGUUUGUUGGCGGGGUAACGGCCCACCAAGACUACGAUGGAUAGGGGUUCUGAGAGGAAGGUCCCCCACAUUGGAACUGAGACACGGUCCAAACUCCUACGGGAGGCAGCAGUGAGGAAUAUUGGUCAAUGGACGAGAGUCUGAACCAGCCAAGUAGCGUGAAGGAUGACUGCCCUAUGGGUUGUAAACUUCUUUUAUAUGGGAAUAAAGUAUUCCACGUGUGGGAUUUUGUAUGUACCAUAUGAAUAAGGAUCGGCUAACUCCGUGCCAGCAGCCGCGGUAAUACGGAGGAUCCGAGCGUUAUCCGGAUUUAUUGGGUUUAAAGGGAGCGUAGGUGGAUUGUUAAGUCAGUUGUGAAAGUUUGCGGCUCAACCGUAAAAUUGCAGUUGAAACUGGCAGUCUUGAGUACAGUAGAGGUGGGCGGAAUUCGUGGUGUAGCGGUGAAAUGCUUAGAUAUCACGAAGAACUCCGAUUGCGAAGGCAGCUCACUAGACUGCAACUGACACUGAUGCUCGAAAGUGUGGGUAUCAAACAGGAUUAGAUACCCUGGUAGUCCACACAGUAAACGAUGAAUACUCGCUGUUUGCGAUAUACAGUAAGCGGCCAAGCGAAAGCAUUAAGUAUUCCACCUGGGGAGUACGCCGGCAACGGUGAAACUCAAAGGAAUUGACGGGGGCCCGCACAAGCGGAGGAACAUGUGGUUUAAUUCGAUGAUACGCGAGGAACCUUACCCGGGCUUAAAUUGCAUUUGAAUAAUCUGGAAACAGGUUAGCCGCAAGGCAAAUGUGAAGGUGCUGCAUGGUUGUCGUCAGCUCGUGCCGUGAGGUGUCGGCUUAAGUGCCAUAACGAGCGCAACCCUUAUCUUUAGUUACUAACAGGUCAUGCUGAGGACUCUAGAGAGACUGCCGUCGUAAGAUGUGAGGAAGGUGGGGAUGACGUCAAAUCAGCACGGCCCUUACGUCCGGGGCUACACACGUGUUACAAUGGGGGGUACAGAAGGCAGCUACCUGGCGACAGGAUGCUAAUCCCAAAAACCUCUCUCAGUUCGGAUCGAAGUCUGCAACCCGACUUCGUGAAGCUGGAUUCGCUAGUAAUCGCGCAUCAGCCAUGGCGCGGUGAAUACGUUCCCGGGCCUUGUACACACCGCCCGUC
This 1394-nucleotide ribosomal RNA is filed under the name uncultured bacterium. RNAcentral describes it as "bacterial SSU rRNA". It matches the Rfam family "Bacterial small subunit ribosomal RNA". The record is from RNAcentral.